RNAcentral lists this transfer RNA (62 nucleotides) under Dehalococcoidia bacterium. RNAcentral's name for it is "tRNA-Trp". It matches the Rfam family "tRNA", at positions 7 to 64 of the family's 71-position model. From Rfam's summary of the family: Transfer RNA (tRNA) molecules are approximately 80 nucleotides in length. Lineage: Bacteria; Bacillati; Chloroflexota; Dehalococcoidia. The record is from RNAcentral.
GUAGCUCAGUCCGGCUAGAGCACUGGUCUCCAAAACCAGCGGUCGGGGGUUCGAAUCCCUCC